GCAGUGGUGGGUCAGUGGUAGAAUUCCCGCCUUCCGUGUGGGAGAACUGGGUUGGAUUUCCAGCCAAUGCA
RNAcentral lists this transfer RNA (71 nucleotides) under Loxodonta africana (African savanna elephant). It matches the Rfam family "tRNA". Rfam says of the family: Transfer RNA (tRNA) molecules are approximately 80 nucleotides in length. Their secondary structure includes four short double-helical elements and three loops (D, anti-codon, and T loops). Lineage: Eukaryota; Metazoa; Chordata; Mammalia; Proboscidea; Elephantidae. The record is from Rfam by way of RNAcentral.